This is a non-coding RNA of Podarcis lilfordi (Lilford's wall lizard), 71 nucleotides long. The record is from the annotation of a GenBank genome assembly. Lineage: Eukaryota; Metazoa; Chordata; Lepidosauria; Squamata; Lacertidae.
GCCCAUAGCUCAGUCAGUAGAACGCAAGACUCUUAAUCUAUGGGUCAUGGGUUUGAGUCCCACAUUGGGCA